Molecule: long non-coding RNA, 3759 nt
Filed under: Sus scrofa (pig)
Lineage: Eukaryota; Metazoa; Chordata; Mammalia; Artiodactyla; Suidae
Description: lncRNA (ENSSSCG00060046467.1)
Source: RNAcentral
UUUUUUUUUUUUUUUUUUUUGCUGCACCCUCAGCAUGUGAAAGUUCUGGGCCAGGGAUAAAACUCUCACCAAACUUGCAGCCUGCUCCAUGGCUAUAGCAACACCGGAUCCUUAACCUGCUGUGCCACAAGGGAACUUCCUUUUCUACACUGUUUGUAUUACUUUUAUAAUCAAUAAGUUCCUUUCCAAAAGAAAGAAAAAAGUUUUUUGGCCACACCUGUGUCAUAUGGAAGUUCCUUGGCCAGGGAUCAAACCCAUGCCACUGCUAUAGCAACGCUAGAUCCUUAACCUACUGCGCCACAUGAGAACUUCCAGAAAAAAAAAAUUUUUUUAAUCAGAUGAAAUAACUUAGGGAAAGAAAUGGGAAACAAAGCUAAGACAUAACAGACUAGGAGAAAACAUUUAUAAUACAUAAAAUAAAGGAUUUGUAUCUGGAACAUAAAAAGGACUCAACAAAUCAAUAAGGAAAAAAAUCCACUAGAAGAGUAGGCAAAAAAUAUAAAUAGGCUGUUCACAGAAAAGAAAAUAUAAAUUUCCAAUAAGCACAGAAAAAGAUGCCCAACCUCAGUACUAACUAGUGAAAUGGAAAUUAAAACUGAAAUUGGCAACAAUUUUCAAGCUUCGUGAUAUCAAAAGAAUGUAAAGUGGUGUGGCCACUUUAGAGGAAAACUGAACAAAAGCUAUUAAAUCCAUGUCUCAAUGUCACUUCUAGCUCUCUACUAUAAUUCUAUAUGCAUAUGGAGGGAUGUUCAGGAUAACUGCUAUGAUAUUGCUAAUAAAGAAAAUUGAGGAGUUCCCCGUCGUGGCGCAGUGGUUAAUGAAUCUGACUAGGAACCAUGAGGUUGCGGGUUUGGUCCCUGCCCUUGCUCAGUGGGUUGACGAUCCGGUGGUGCCAUGAGCUGUGGUGUAGGUCGCAGAUGCGGCUCGGAUCCCAAGUUGCUGUGGCUCUGGCGUAGGCUAGUGGCUACAGCUCCGAUUAGACCCCUAGCCUGGGAACCUCCGUAUUCUGCGGGAGCGGCCCUAGAAAAGGCAAAAAGACAAAGGAAAAAAAAAAAAGAAAAGAAAAUUGAGACUCUGACAAGAUGCCCAUCAGUAGAGGAAUGGCUAAAUAAAAUGCAGAAUACUCAUUUAAUCGAAUUCCCUAGAAAAUUUAAAAGAAGUGACCUUGGAGUUCCUGUCGUAGCUCAGCAGUUAAUGAACCCAACUACCAUCCACGAGGUUGCAGUCGGAUUCAUUUCUGCUGCGCCACGAUGGGAACUCCCUGAUUUGAUAUUUUAAAAAACUCUCCCCAAAAUGCAUAACUCUGGUCUAAUUAUGAAGAAUCAUCAGACAAACCUGAAUUGAGGGAUAUUCUACAAAAUAUGUGACCUGGACUCUUCAAAGUGUUAAGGUCAUGAAAGCCAAGAAAAGACUGAGAACAAUUACAGAUCAGAGGAAACUAAGGAGACAGGACAACCAAACUCAGUGUGGGAUCCUGGACUGGAUACUGAAACAGAAAAAGGACAUUAGUGGGAAAACUGGUAAAGUUCUAGUGAAUCUAUGGUUUAGUUAAUAGUAUGGUACCAAUGUUAACUUCUUAGUUUUGACUAUUGAACCAGAGUUGCAUAAGCUGUUAACAUUAAGGCAAACUGAGUGAAAGGUAUACUGGAACUUUCUAUGCUAUUUUUGUAACUCUCCUGUAAAUUUAAAAUUAUUUCAAAAUAAAAAGUUAAAAAGAAAAUCAUGGACUUGGAAAAUAGACUUGUGGCUGCCUGAUGGGAGAGGGAGGGAGUGGGAGGGAUCAGGAGCUUGGGGUUAUCAGACACAACUUAGAACAGAUUUACAAGGAGAUCCUGCUGAGUAGCAUUGAGAACUAUGUCUAGAUACUCAUGUUGCAACAGAACAAAGGGUGGGGGGAAAAAAAAGGGAAAAAAAUGUAAUGUAUACAUGUAAGGAUAACUUGAUCCCCUUGCUGUACAGUGGGAAAAUUAAAAAAAAAAUAAAAAUAAAAAUUUAAAACAAAACGCAGACAUAAAUACCACUCUUUCCUGUCGUCACUGCUAUAGACAAUGUUUCUGUGUACCCUUUAGAUUCAUAUGUUGUGAUGAUGGUUGUACAAAUAUAAUAAAAUUCAUUGAAUUUAAAAAAAAAUAUGAGGCGUUCCCAUCGUGGCUCAGUGGAAACAAAUCUGACUAGUAUCCAUGAGGAUGCAGGUUCAAUCCCUGGCUUUGCUCAGUGGAUAAAGGAUCCAGUGUUGCUGUGAGCUGUGGUGUAGGCCAGCAGCUACAGUUUUGAUUCAACCCCUAGCCCAGGAACCUCCAUAUGCCUUGGUUGUGGACCUAAAAAGACCAAAAAAAAAAAAAAAAAAAAAAAAAAAAGGGAAACCUAAUCCCCAUUGUGUUGAUAUCUGGAGAUAGGCAUUUGGGAGGUUAUUAGGUCACCAAGGCAGAGCCCCCAUAAGUGGAAUUAGUGCCCUUAUGAAAGGGACCCAAGAGAGGACAGGUGGGAUGGGAUGGGGGUUUGGGAUUGGCGCAUGCACACUGUGGUAUGGAAUGACUGGCCAAUGUGGACCUGCUGUAUUACACAGGGAACUCUACCCAAUAUUCUGGGAAAAUCUAUAUGGCAAAAGAAUCUGAAAAAUUUAAAAAAAGAGAGAGAGAGACCCCAGAGAGCUUCCUACUCCCUCCUACCUUGUGAGGACACAGCAAGAGGAUAGCUAUCUCUGAACCAGGAAGUGGGUCUUCACCACUGAGUCUGCUGAUACCUUGCUCUUGGACUUCCCAGCUUCUAGAACUGUGAGAAACAAAUUUCUAUUGUUUACAUGCCACCCGGUCUCUGCUAUUCUGUUAUGGCAGCCUGAACUAAGACAACUGCACAUGGUUUGUAGGAGAUUUUGAAAACAGAUUGUAAGGCUACCUACCAAAAUCUUUUAUCAGAGGUUAUCCUUAAAGAUAGGGGGUCAUGUCGAAAGAGAGUCUUAGCUUUAGUUUUAAUAUUCUUGGAGAUAAAUGUACAGAUGUAUUUCUUUUUUAAUCGAAAAUUAAUUUUUUAAAAUGAAAAAGAAAGCAAAAGGACAAGAUACUUGGCCUCAUGAUUUUCAGGAGUAAGACAAGCCAUGCCAACCAACCAUAAAACAACCUUCUAAUAAUGGGUCGGGGAGACAGAGGAAGCCUUAAAUGACUUGCUUAGGGUCUCUAACUUGACACUGGCUGAGGGGCCCAGGCAGCACUUGGUAAGAAAGGCCAUCCCACUGUGGCCUUGGAUGGCCUCUCACCAAACUUCCUGCCCGAGCACUCACAUGGCUUCCCUACCCCUUUGUUAACCCAAUUUUUCCCCAGAAUACCUUAAACUCUGAGUCACCCAGAAUGUGAGCUGCAUUCACAGGUCACUCAUCAGUUUUCUGCUUCUUGGCAGAACCCCUCAGAGAAAUUCAAGCAUUGCUCAACACCCUGGCCUGGAGCCUAGAAACAGCCUGCCCCCAAAUUUGUUCCCAGGAAGUAUUCAGUCAUAGAUCCAAUCAGCCAGCUUUAAAGUCUCUUCUCUUUUUCCUCCCUCCUUCUCUAACAGCAUAAGGCCAGCACUUACUGCCAUAAGUAGCCGUACAGGCAUUACGGGUAGAGACAGUUAAUCAGAAAAAAUUUAGUCUAGCUAGAAACAUCUAGUCCAACUUGAGACAGGACAUCCAUUUAAGACUUAAGAGCACCUACAUCUCUUCAAAAAUAUGCACUCAGCUCCUACCAGGUGCCUAAUACUGAUCCACAGAAACAUGAGUUUCUGCCC